UACGAAGGGGGCUAGCGUUGCUCGGAAUCACUGGGCGUAAAGCGCACGUAGGCGGCUUUCUAAGUCAGGGGUGAAAUCCUGGAGCUCAACUCCAGAACUGCCUUUGAUACUGGGAAGCUCGAGUCCGGAAGAGGUGAGUGGAACUCCGAGUGUAGAGGUGAAAUUCGUAGAUAUUCGCAAGAACACCAGUGGCGAAGGCGGCUCACUGGCCCGGUACUGACGCUGAGGCACGAAAGCGUGGGGAGCAAACAGG
Molecule: ribosomal RNA, 253 nt
Filed under: uncultured bacterium
Lineage: Bacteria
Description: partial 16S ribosomal RNA
Rfam family: Bacterial small subunit ribosomal RNA
Source: RNAcentral